RNAcentral lists this ribosomal RNA (253 nucleotides) under uncultured bacterium. RNAcentral's name for it is "partial 16S ribosomal RNA". It matches the Rfam family "Bacterial small subunit ribosomal RNA", at positions 524 to 776 of the family's 1533-position model. The record is from RNAcentral.
UACGGAGGGUGCAAGCGUUGCUCGGAAUUAUUGGGCGUAAAGGGUAGGUAGGUGGUCUCAUUUGUCUGAGGUGAAAGCCCAGGGCUUAACCUUGGAAGUGCCUCAGAAACGGUGAGACUGGAGUACUGGAGAGGGUCGUGGAAUUCCCGGUGUAGCGGUGAAAUGCGUAGAGAUCGGGAGGAACACCAGAGGCGAAGGCGGCGACCUGGACAGUGACUGACACUCAACUACGAAAGCGUGGGGAGCAAACAGG